CCAGUGCUGGGAGAUGGGAGCUGUGAUCAAAGGGACCUGGGAACAACGUCGCGGCCGUUCCCACUCGCUGUCAGCAUCGGCUCCUCUCCAGCCUUGUGGUUUUUUUUUUUUUUUGCUCAGCUCUGCCGUGGUGGGGAGGCGAGGUGGGGGCCCAGGCUGCUGCAGGGCAGGGCAGGGUGUGAAGCUUUGCACGUCCCCCGUGCUGUGCUGCCCAUCCUGCUCACCUCGAGCUGCUCAGGGCCCUGUCCCUGCUCUGUGCUGCACAACCCCAGCAGCCUGGGGCAAGGACGAGCUGAAGGGCAGGGGCAGAGGAGCCGGCUGGGGCAGCGGGGUUGCCUCCAGCACCACCCCAUUGGGCUGGGGGAGCAUCCUGCACCCCGCUCGGCCCUGGGGCUGUGGCCAAGCAUCUCUGCAGCAGGGAUGCAGCCUCGCUUCCCAUCCCAGCCUGUGCCAGGAUCAGGGCCCAGCAAGACAACACAGCCAGGGGUGACUUCUGGGGGGCAAAGGGGGGGGGGCAUGGGAGCCCCAGCAGAGCAGUGAUGAGGCUUGGGGGCACGAAGCCAGACCCAAGCAUCCCUUUGUUUGCAGGAGCCCCUGCAAGGGGUGGGCAAUGGGGAGAAGCCCCCAGCCCGGGCUGGGGGGUGCAGGAGAGCAGCCGACCCAGCCGUGGGGGGGUUCAGGCGCUGCCUCCUUGCGCUGGGAACCCGGGGUUGCGGUGGCCGGGGGGGCUCUGACCGGAGGCAGGGACCUUCCCCCGACCCUCGCCCGCAGAUCCCCGGGCAGAGAGGCUGGGAGCGACCCCCCCGGGGCUCCCCCCGCCUCGCCCAGCCCUCGGCUGCACCUCCGCCCUUCUCGGCCCCCGGUUGCCACCUGCCGGUAGCUCCGCAGUGCCACGGGGCUCCGCUCGCCCUGGAGUUUUGGCCGUGCCAAGCCCGGAGCCCCCCCACCCGGGGACCCCCCCCCACCUCCAUCCCAUCCCGACUCCUCUCAGGGAUGCUCCGGGUGCCCCAGGCUGGGCAGUACCGGGGCCGGACCCCCCCCCUGCGCAUCUCCCCGUGGCAAAACCGCAGCUCCCCAGCUCGGGGGGGGGGGGCCCCCCGUUUUCCCCCCCCGGCCCCCCGGCCCGGGGGGGGUGCGGNNNNNNNNNNNNNNNNNNNNNNNNNNNNNNNNNNNNNNNNNNNNNNNNNNNNNNNNNNNNNNNNNNNNNNNNNNNNNNNNNNNNNNNNNNNNNNNNNNNNGCUCAGCGCGGACCCGGACCCCCGGGGCGGGUUGGGGGGGGGUCCCGGGAGGCGGCGGGACGGACUACAGGUCCCGGCAUGCCCGGCCGCGCUCCGCACCUGCCCGGGGAGCGGCUUUUGUUCGCGGCGGGGCCGCGGGAGCGAUGGGCGAGGGCCCCGCGGCCGCCUCCGCGCCGGGAGCAGCGAGCGCGCAGCGGUACCAGCCGGAGCAGGGACUCUGCCUCCUGCCAGCACCUCUCCGGGGGGGCAGGGAGGAAGGUGCAUCCCCCCAUGGCAGCCGGCUCCCCCACGUAACGCCAGCCAAACUGGACACCGCGGUCCCGCAAGAGACCCCCCCCGGCCAGCGCCCCCCCGCCCGCUGCCUCUCACCUGGCCCAGCCUCGCCGCUCGCUGCCCUGCCCCACGCUGACCCCGUGCCCCGUCGCGAUGUCGCCACCAUCACCGACCUGUGCAGCGGCGGCGAUGUCCCCGAGGUGGAGAUCAUCAGCCUGCUGGGCGAGCAGCUGCCCCGCUACAAGCUGCGGGCGGACACCGUCUUCGGCUAUGACCACGACGACUGGCUGCGAGCCCCCCCUGCCCCCCCGGAGCCCGCAGCCCCCCUCACCCCCCAGCAGAUCUCGGAGACCCUGCAAUAUUUCCGUGAGUGCCCCUGUCCCGCGCCGUGGGGCUGGGCGAGGGCAGUGGGGCGCAGGUGAUGGGGUUCGGGCCGGGUGGGGGCUGUGGGGGCUGUGGGGGAGUUAAUCGCUGCUAACGGGAUUGCCGGCGUGGAUUUCCUCACCCAGAACAUCCUGGGCUAAUUCUGGGAGCAGCUUCUGCUGAGCCGAGCCGGACGCUCGCGGAGAGCCUCCGACAGCCCCCAGGGACCCCGGUGUGUCCCCCUUUCCCGUGCCCUGCAUCUCUCUGGGGUGGCCACCCGUGAGGGGUGUUCUGGUGGCCCCAAGUGCUGCUGUGCCCCCAAAAACAGCCUGGAGUGGCCGAGGGAGUGUGGGGCUGCUCCUGCCAGCAAAGCCCUGUGGGGUACGGGCACCUGGGGGGAGACCCCCGCAGCCCCCUGGCUGGGGAGGGGGCGAUUCCCAACCAGGGAGCUGCGAGGCCCCUUCCCAGCACGGGGUCAGGGUCUGGUGGGCACACCUGGCUCCCUCUGCCCAUAUACGAGGGGCUGGGCUGGGGGCCACCCCCUGCUUGUGGCUGACCCCAGGGUGUUCCUGCCCCCCCAGACCCCUAGCCAUGCAGUGUCUGGCACAGGAGGACCCCGUGUGUCGCCGUCCGUCCCCUCUCCGUGUCACCUCCCUCUCCGUGUCACGUUUCCCCGUGCCUUGGCACCUGGGUGACGUUUGUGCCUUAGCAGUGUGUCAGGGGCCCGUGCUCCCCCAUCCCUUCCCCCCAAAACCCUUAAGCUGCCAUCAGAAAUAGCCCCCUGUAAUCUGCUUGCGCAGAGGCGCGG
Molecule: long non-coding RNA, 2682 nt
Filed under: Anas platyrhynchos platyrhynchos (common mallard)
Lineage: Eukaryota; Metazoa; Chordata; Aves; Anseriformes; Anatidae
Description: lncRNA (ENSAPLG00000029971.1)
Source: RNAcentral